This 585-nucleotide ribosomal RNA is filed under the name uncultured bacterium. RNAcentral describes it as "partial 16S ribosomal RNA". It matches the Rfam family "Bacterial small subunit ribosomal RNA", at positions 355 to 1375 of the family's 1533-position model. The record is from RNAcentral.
UGGGGAAUUUUGGACAAUGGGCGAAAGCCUGAUCCAGCAAUGCCGCGUGUGUGAAGAAGGCCUUCGGGUUGUAAAGCACUUUUGUCCGGAAAGAAAUCCUUGGCUCUAAUACAGUCGGGGGAUGACGGUACCGGAAGAAUAAGCACCGGCUAACUACGUGCCAGCAGCCGCGGUAAUACGUAGGGUGCAAGCGUUAAUCGGAAUUACUGGGCGUAAAGCGUGCGCAGGCGGUUUGCUAAGACCGAUGUGAAAUCCCCGGGCUCAACCUGGGAACUGCAUUGGUGACUGGCAGGCUAGAGUAUGGCAGAGGGGGGUAGAAUUCCACGUGUAGCAGUGAAAUGCGUAGAGAUGUGGAGGAAUACCGAUGGCGAAGGCAGCCCCCUGGGCCAAUACUGACGCUCAUGCACGAAAGCGUGGGGAGCAAACAGGAUUAGAUACCCUGGUAGUCCACGCCCUAAACGAUGUCAACUAGUUGUUGGGGAUUCAUUUCCUUAGUAACGUAGCUAACGCGUGAAGUUGACUGCCUGGGGAGUACGGUCGCAAGAUUAAAACUCAAAGGAAUUGACGGGGUCAUAGCUGUUUCCU